GUCCAUUCUUGAUUGAAUCAUUUACUAAUAUUAAUCUACUAAUAAUACAAAUUUCUUUGAGAAUAAACCUAAUAAGUGUACUAUGAACCAGUAUAUAAAAUAUUUACACAUUUUCAGACUGUAAAGAGCAAUUUGGUGGCUGUGCACUCUCUCCAUUGAUUUCAGGGGAGCUAUGCCUAUGCUGCUUCUUGGCUGAAUACAGGAUAUAAUGUUGAAACAUGAAAAGAAGGUCAAACAAUAUGGACACCAGAGAGAGCAUUGUCUUCCCUAUGUUGCCAUAGAAGUUCACCCAGGAAUGUUGGUCUAUAGAUUGUGCAGUCAUUUGGGCAUAAUUUGUUACCCCUCCAAGAAAAUCAAGGAAAAUGUUCCCAAUGCUGAACCCAUCAGUGCUCUUUCUCAUGAAGUUCAUGGCUGCCUGGGGAAUGUACUUUAUCACUGUCAUGCAAACUUGAAUUGAGUUGAAGACAGAGAUAAGCCACAGCCAAGAAUGGCGAUGCAAUGCUACAAAGAAACAAACUGCAGCAGCUACCCACACGAUAAAGACAAUUGUUAUGGCAAUCUUGGAUACCUUUUGAUGCCCGCGCUGUUUCUGGCCAUACUUGUUAAAGUAUUGCUUUUGGAUAGCAGAGCUGAAGUAAAGAGAA
This 644-nucleotide unclassified non-coding RNA is filed under the name Hevea brasiliensis (rubber tree). The record is from RNAcentral. Lineage: Eukaryota; Viridiplantae; Streptophyta; Magnoliopsida; Malpighiales; Euphorbiaceae.